CUCUUAUUAAGAGUGAUGGAGAUGCAAAGGAUCUGUGAAGUCACGACAACCUCCGAUUACGGAAGUCGGAAGGUGCCAACCUUGAGCGAGUUAUGUUCGAACAAUGAGAG
This 110-nucleotide non-coding RNA is filed under the name Lachnospiraceae bacterium. Its description in RNAcentral is "SAM-I sequence". It matches the Rfam family "SAM riboswitch aptamer (S box leader)". Rfam says of the family: The SAM riboswitch is found upstream of a number of genes which code for proteins involved in methionine or cysteine biosynthesis in Gram-positive bacteria. The record is from Rfam by way of RNAcentral. Lineage: Bacteria; Bacillati; Bacillota; Clostridia; Lachnospirales; Lachnospiraceae.